CACAUGCAGUCGAACGAACCCUUCGGGGUUAGUGGCGCACGGGUGCGUAACACGUGGGAAUCUGCCUCUUGGUUCGGAAUAACAGUGAGAAAUUACUGCUAAUACCGGAUGAUGACUUCGGUCCAAAGAUUUAUCGCCAAGAGAUGAGCCCGCGCAGGAUUAGGUAGUUGGUGGGGUAAAGGCCUACCAAGCCGACGAUCCUUAGCUGGUCUGAGAGGAUGAUCAGCCACACUGGGACUGAGACACGGCCCAGACUCCUACGGGAGGCAGCAGUGGGGAAUAUUGGACAAUGGGCGAAAGCCUGAUCCAGCAAUGCCGCGUGAGUGAUGAAGGCCUUAGGGUUGUAAAGCUCUUUUACCAGGGAUGAUAAUGACAGUACCUGGAGAAUAAGCUCCGGCUAACUCCGUGCCAGCAGCCGCGGUAAUACGGAGGGAGCUAGCGUUGUUCGGAAUUACUGGGCGUAAAGCGCGCGUAGGCGGUUACUCAAGUCAGAGGUGAAAGCCCGGAGCUCAACUCCGGAACUGCCUUUGAAACUAGGUGACUAGAAUCUUGGAGAGGUCAGUGGAAUUCCGAGUGUAGAGGUGAAAUUCGUAGAUAUUCGGAAGAACACCAGUGGCGAAGGCGACUGACUGGACAAGUAUUGACGCUGAGGUGCGAAAGUGUGGGGGAGCAAACAGGAUUAUGAUACCCUGGUAGUCCACACCGUAAACGAUGAUAACUAGGCUGUUCCGGGUUCUUGGAAUUUGGGGUGGCGCAGCUAACGCAUUAAGUUAUCCGCCUGGGGGAGUACGGUCGCAAGA
RNAcentral lists this ribosomal RNA (800 nucleotides) under Novosphingobium sp. RNAcentral's name for it is "bacterial SSU rRNA". It matches the Rfam family "Bacterial small subunit ribosomal RNA", at positions 52 to 893 of the family's 1533-position model. Lineage: Bacteria; Pseudomonadati; Pseudomonadota; Alphaproteobacteria; Sphingomonadales; Sphingomonadaceae. The record is from RNAcentral.